CAAUAGCGUAUAUUAAAGUUGUUGCGGUUAAAAAGCUCGUAGUUGAACUUCUGGUAAGACGCGUCCGGCCUUGGCGUGAACUCGCCUUGCAGCUGUGAUGUCGUUUGGCCAUCCUCCGCUAGCAAUAGCGGUCUUUCACUGUAAAAAAAUUAGGGUGUUUCAAGCAAAAGUUAUUUGGAAUAUAUUAGUAUGGGAUGAUAAGAUAGGCUCUGAGUGCUAUUUUGUUGGUUUGUACAUUUAGAGAAUGAUUAACAGGGACAGUUGGGGGUAUUCAUAUUUACAUGUCAGAGGUGAAAUUCUUGGAUUUUGGAAAGAUGAACUACUGCGAAGGCAUUUACCAAGGAUGUUUUCAUUAA
RNAcentral lists this ribosomal RNA (356 nucleotides) under uncultured eukaryote. RNAcentral's name for it is "partial 18S ribosomal RNA". It matches the Rfam family "Eukaryotic small subunit ribosomal RNA", at positions 592 to 976 of the family's 1831-position model. The record is from RNAcentral.